Molecule: microRNA precursor, 93 nt
Filed under: Brachypodium distachyon (stiff brome)
Lineage: Eukaryota; Viridiplantae; Streptophyta; Magnoliopsida; Poales; Poaceae
Description: mir-399 microRNA precursor family
Rfam family: mir-399 microRNA precursor family
About the family: mir-399 was identified in both Arabidopsis thaliana and Oryza sativa computationally and was later experimentally verified. mir-399 is thought to target mRNAs coding for a phosphatase transporter. The mature sequence is excised from the 3' arm of the hairpin.
Source: Rfam by way of RNAcentral
CCAUGCAUUACAGGGUGGUUCUCCUUUGGCAGUGGCCUGAUGAAGUAACCAAAGCUGGCCACCGCCAAAGGAGACUUGCCCAGCAAUGCAGCU